UAGAGUGACCGAAUUUGACAGAGACCGAGACUUCACCAAGAUGAGAGUGGCUGCUUCCGCCCAGCUGGUUGAGCGCCUGAGGUCACAGACGGAGGCCCUGGAGGGUGACAUCUAUGGCCUUGUCCCGGAGUGUGGCAAGCCCUCAGCGGUGGCCAUGGCCCUCCUGGCGAGGGGGGAGGGCCAGGAGGACAUGGGCCACACCCCCGCACUGCUGCUGCCCCCCCCGAUGACCCGGCUUGGCGUCUUCAAGGUCACUGAGGGAGACGCCACCUGUCCUGAACUAGAGGACGGUGAGGUGUGCGCGGUGUGGGACCAGCGAGCGGUGGUGUGGUACAGUGGUGGCGGCGGUGGUGUGGAGGUGGAGGUGGAGGUGUUUGGGGCCACACAGGUGCACGCACUGUUUGGCGUGGCCAAGGUUGCCUUCACCCUGGAGCUGUGGUGCCGCCACGCCGCCAGGGACUCCACCCCAUCCCCCUCCCCCUCCCCCACCCCGGGCCCCGCCACCCACGCCACCCGAGGUAAUGCUGCGGCGCUGUGUGAGGAGCUGGACACAGCGGCGGCCUGCUUCAGGCUGCGCGGCGGCCGCCUCAUGCUGCACAGCGGCGACGGUGGCGGCGGUGUGCUGUGCGGCGGUGAGGCGGGGGUGGGGGCUGGAGACACAGCGGGCGGCGUGUUUUUCAAGGCUGCGGGGGGCAAGAAGAAGGGCGGUGGCGGUGCUGGUGGUGGUGGCGGCGGCGUGCAACAGGAAGUUGCCUUCCAGCUAGUGUACAACCGCAGUGCCGUGGUGGGUGAGGGCGGUGUGGCGGCGCCGGUGGUGCGGGUGGACAACUGUGAGUCGAGUGUGGUGUGCGCGGCGGUGAGCGGCGAGGCGGUGGCUUACCUGGACAAGAGUGGCGGGGUGGGGCAGCUGGGCGGGCUGCUGGCAGAGGCCGUGGCGGGGCAGGUGCGGCUGGCGGAGCACUGGCUGGCCCUGCAGCGGGGCCGCCCUGAGCUGCGCGGCCCUCUCACCGCCCUGGCCACGCUGCCCCAGGCGGCGGGCCACCUCCUGGCCCUGGUGUACCCUGCUGGGGUGGAAGAGGAGGCGCUGCGGGGGUACCGGGCGGCAGUGCACCGCGCCCUGGUGUUCCCCAGGGACCGCCCCAUGGUGCGCCGCGCCAACGCCCUCACCCCGGCCCCCGGCACCCGCCCCUCCGCCCUGGUGUGCCCCCACGCCGCCCUGGCCCCCCCGGGUGUGGGUGGGCGGGUGAGUGUGGUGCAGGGGGGGUACGCCUACUACCACUACCAGCAGGGCAAGAUGGACGACAAGGGGUGGGGGUGCGCGUACCGCUCCCUGCAGACCAUUGUGUCGUGGUACCAGCUGCAGGGGUACACGGCGCGCCCCGUGCCCUCACACCGCGCCAUCCAGCAGUGCCUGGUGGACAUCGGGGACAAGCCUGUGGACAUGGUGGGGUCGCGGCGGUGGAUCGGCAGCACGGAGGUUGGCUUCGUGCUGGAGACACUGUUCGGCGUGCACUCUCGCUUCCUGUGUGUGUCCAGCGGCGCAGAGCUGGCGGGCCGCGCCGCUGACCUGGCGCACCACUUCGACACCCAGGGCACCCCCAUCAUGGUGGGCGGCGGCGUGCUGGCCCACACACUGCUGGGCGUGGCGUGGGACGAGGCCACGCAGCACGCCACGGCCUUCCUGGUGCUGGACCCGCACUACACUGGCCCAGACGACACCCAGACAGUGACGGCCAAGGGCGGCGUGGCCUGGAAACAGCCUGACUUCUGGAAGACUGACGCCUUCUACAACCUGUGCAUGCCGCAGACACAACCCUGUAUAUAGGCCUAUGUAGACACAACCCUGUAUAUAGGCCUAUGCUCCUGUCUGUGUGUGUGUGUGUGUGUGUGUGUGUGUGUGUGUGUGUAAGAUUUGUUUACCAUAUAAUCUAUCUCUGUACUGAGUAUGUGUGUGUGUGUGUGUGUGUGUGUGUGUGUGUGUGUGUGUGUGUGUGUGUGUGUGUGUGUGUGUGUGUGUGUG
This 2020-nucleotide unclassified non-coding RNA is filed under the name Portunus trituberculatus (swimming crab). Its description in RNAcentral is "ufm1-specific protease 2-like, transcript variant X2". The record is from RNAcentral. Lineage: Eukaryota; Metazoa; Arthropoda; Malacostraca; Decapoda; Portunidae.